GCAUGACGGCUUGACGUAUACUGCAGUCGAACGAAGCUGGUAUAUGAUUGGUGCUUGCAUCAUGAUUUACAUUUGAGUGAGUGGCGAACUGGUGAGUAACACGUGGGAAACCUGCCCAGAAGCGGGGGAUAACACCUGGAAACAGAUGCUAAUACCGCAUAACAACUUGGACCGCAUGGUCCGAGUUUGAAAGAUGGCUUCGGCUAUCACUUUUGGAUGGUCCCGCGGCGUAUUAGCUAGAUGGUGGGGUAACGGCUCACCAUGGCAAUGAUACGUAGCCGACCUGAGAGGGUAAUCGGCCACAUUGGGACUGAGACACGGCCCAAACUCCUACGGGAGGCAGCAGUAGGGAAUCUUCCACAAUGGACGAAAGUCUGAUGGAGCAACGCCGCGUGAGUGAAGAAGGGUUUCGGCUCGUAAAACUCUGUUGUUAAAGAAGAACAUAUCUGAGAGUAACUGUUCAGGUAUUGACGGUAUUUAACCAGAAAGCCACGGCUAACUACGUGCCAGCAGCCGCGGUAAUACGUAGGUGGCAAGCGUUGUCCGGAUUUAUUGGGCGUAAAGCCAGCGCAGGCGGUUUUUUAAGUCUGAUGUGAAAACCCCUGGGCUCAACCCAAAAAAUGGCUCGCGAAACUGGGGAAAAGUGGGUGCCAAAAAAGACCUUGGAAC
RNAcentral lists this ribosomal RNA (669 nucleotides) under Lactobacillus sp. 59DCEP01MX. Its description in RNAcentral is "bacterial SSU rRNA". It matches the Rfam family "Bacterial small subunit ribosomal RNA", at positions 33 to 667 of the family's 1533-position model. Lineage: Bacteria; Bacillati; Bacillota; Bacilli; Lactobacillales; Lactobacillaceae. The record is from RNAcentral.